UCGACGGGAAUGCCACGCUGAUGCGAUUUCGGUCAAAUCAUGUGGCAUUCGAGUGGCGGACGGGUGAGUAACGCGUGGGUAACCUGCCUUACACAGGGGGAUAACACCUGGAAACAGGUGCUAAUACCGCAUAAGCGCACAGGGCCGCAUGGCCCGGUGUGAAAAACUCCGGUGGUGUAAGAUGGACCCGCGUCUGAUUAGCUUGUUGGCGGGGUAGGGGCCCACCAAGGCGACGAUCAGUAGCCGGCCUGAGAGGGUGGACGGCCACAUUGGGACUGAGACACGGCCCAAACUCCUACGGGAGGCAGCAGUGGGGGAUAUUGGACAAUGGGGGAAACCCUGAUCCAGCGACGCCGCGUGAGUGAAGAAGUAUUUCGGUAUGUAAAGCUCUGUCAGCAGGGAAGAAAGAAAUGACGGUACCUGACCAAGAAGCCCCGGCUAACUACGUGCCAGCAGCCGCGGUAAUACGUAGGGGGCAAGCGUUAUCCGGAAUUACUGGGUGUAAAGGGAGCGUAGACGGUGAUGCAAGUCUGGAGUGAAAGGCGGGGGCCCAACCCCCGGACUGCUCUGGAAACUGUGUAACUUGAGUGCAGGAGAGGUAAGCGGAAUUCCUAGUGUAGCGGUGAAAUGCGUAGAUAUUAGGAGGAACACCAGUGGCGAAGGCGGCUUACUGGACUGUAACUGACGUUGAGGCUCGAAAGCGUGGGGAGCAAACAGGAUUAGAUACCCUGGUAGUCCACGCCGUAAACGAUGAUUACUAGGUGUCGGUGGGUAUGGACCCACCGGUGCCGCAGCAAACGCAGUAAGUAAUCCACCUGGGGAG
RNAcentral lists this ribosomal RNA (823 nucleotides) under uncultured bacterium. RNAcentral's name for it is "bacterial SSU rRNA". It matches the Rfam family "Bacterial small subunit ribosomal RNA", at positions 62 to 880 of the family's 1533-position model. The record is from RNAcentral.